AUACGUAGGGGGCGAGCGUUGUCCGGAAUUAUUGGGCGUAAAGGGUUCGCAGGCGGUCUGAUAAGUCAGAUGUGAAAGGCAAUGGCUCAACCAUUGUAAGCAUUUGAAACUGUCAGACUUGAGUUAAGGAGAGGAAAGUGGAAUUCCUAGUGUAGCGGUGAAAUGCGUAGAUAUUAGGAGGAAUACCAGUGGCGAAGGCGACUUUCUGGACUUAUACUGACGCUGAGGAACGAAAGCGUGGGGAGCAAACAGGAUUAGAUACCCUGGUAGUCCACGCCGUAAACGAUGAGUGCUAGGUGUUGGGGGUCAAACCUCGGUGCCGCAGCUAACGCAUUAAGCACUCCGCCUGGGGAGUACGUACGCAAGAAUGAAACUCAAAGGAAUUGACGGGG
This 392-nucleotide ribosomal RNA is filed under the name uncultured bacterium. Its description in RNAcentral is "partial 16S ribosomal RNA". It matches the Rfam family "Bacterial small subunit ribosomal RNA", at positions 523 to 918 of the family's 1533-position model. The record is from RNAcentral.